UUGAUCCUUUCACCUUCGCCUUUACACUGC
RNAcentral lists this non-coding RNA (30 nucleotides) under Mus musculus (house mouse). Lineage: Eukaryota; Metazoa; Chordata; Mammalia; Rodentia; Muridae. The record is from RNAcentral.